RNAcentral lists this ribosomal RNA (497 nucleotides) under uncultured beta proteobacterium. RNAcentral describes it as "bacterial SSU rRNA". It matches the Rfam family "Bacterial small subunit ribosomal RNA", at positions 38 to 529 of the family's 1533-position model. Lineage: Bacteria; Pseudomonadati; Pseudomonadota; Betaproteobacteria. The record is from RNAcentral.
GGCGGUAUGCUUUACACAUGCAAGUCGAACGGCAGCAUGGGCUUCGGCCCGAUGGCGAGUGGCGAACGGGUGAGUAAUGCAUCGGAACGUGCCCAGCCGUGGGGGAUAGCUCGGCGAAAGUCCGGAUUAAUACCGCAUACGAUCCACGGAUGAAAGCGGGGGACCCUCGGGCCUCGCGCGACUGGAGCGGCUGAUGUCAGAUUAGGUAGCUGGUGGGGUAAAGGCUCACCAAGCCAACGAUCUGUAGCUGGUCUGAGAGGACGACCAGCCACACUGGGACUGAGACACGGCCCAGACUCCUACGGGAGGCAGCAGUGGGGAAUUUUGGACAAUGGGGGCAACCCUGAUCCAGCAAUACCGCGUGCAGGAAGAAAGCCUUCGGGUUGUAAACUGCUUUUGUACGGAACGAAACGGUAAGGGCUAAUACCUCUUGCUAAUGACGGUACCGUAAGAAUAAGCACCGGCUAACUACGUGCCAGCAGCCGCGGUAAUACGUA